This is a long non-coding RNA of Neofelis nebulosa (Clouded leopard), 6877 nucleotides long. RefSeq lists it as uncharacterized. The record is from RefSeq and is a predicted model, not a curated record. The transcript is spliced from 5 exons. Lineage: Eukaryota; Metazoa; Chordata; Mammalia; Carnivora; Felidae.
CUUGGGGACUGGGCGAGGUGAGGGCUUGGGCGGGCGUGAGCCCCAGGUGCUGCGCUCUCUGCUUGGGCUCGGAACCCGGCAGGACCAGAACCACAGUCUCCGGGGUCAUCCGUUCCCUCCCCACCCAAAAAGGAAUCGCCACCGGGUCGGAGGCUGAGGCUUAGAAGCUGAUGUCUUCUCUCCGAGGUGGAAUUACAUUUACCAAGCUCAUGGGAUUGAUGUGGAAAAUCGGAACGUCAGUGUAUUCACUGAUAACGAGAAAUAUAAUUGCUGAGAAGACCGGAAUACUCUCAUCAGUGUGACCAGCACAUUCUUUCCCGGAGGCAGAUCUAAGUGAAAAGCCAAAUUAUACAAAGAAGGUGGCUUGGCGAGCAUUUGAUCAUUGAGUUCGAUUGAUGAAGAACCUAAUGCAGGUCUCCAUUGAAUGUCAACGUCAAACAUUGUACUGGACACUAGGUGGAGGAUGGUGAAUAAGAGAGAUGGGUCUCCGUGCUCACAGGUUCUAAGGCACUGGGGGAAGACAGGCCCUGAACAGGUAAUGAGACUUCUAGGUUAGAAAAACUACACCCCUUUCCCUCUGCUUCCUCCCCGAAACUACGAAAAUAACAGGAACGGAAUUGUUCUGAAAAGGCAAAACGCAAAGACAGAGGUCUGCAAACCAUGGUCCACAGGCCAGAUCUAGCCCGCUGCCUGUUUCGGGCCAGCCUGUCCUAAGAACAGUCCUAUAUUUGCAAAUGGCUGGAAAAAAAUCAAAACCAGAAUAACAUUCUGUGACACGUGAAAAUGAUAUGAAAGUCAGAUUUCAGAGUGCAUAAAUAAAGUUUUGUGGGAACGCGGCCAUGCAUUCCAAUGCAGGUCCCAUGUAUUGUCUACGGCUGCUCUCGCGCUACCAUGACAUAGUUAAGUAGGUGCGAAGGAGGCCAUAUGGCGUGCAGAGCCAAAAAUAUUUACUAUCCGGCCCUUUACAGGAAAAAAAAAAAUCCCAACCCCUGCUCUAGAACAGCACCGUCCAAUGGAACUUUCUGCAGUGACGGAAGGGGUCGUGUACCGCCAUCCGAUAUGGUAGCUGGCCACUAGCUCCAUGUGGCUACUGAGCCCUUGAUAAGUGGCUGGUGCAACUAAGGACCUGAACGUUUAUUUUAUUUAUUUUAAUGAAUUUAAAUGUGAGUAGCUGGCAGAAGCUGCUGUGUUGGAUGGCACAGCGGUCGACUAUGACAAGAGGGCAUCUGGGCUGGGAAACACCACGUGUCGUGGAAGAUGGGACAUCCGCCGGAAAGCAGGGGUAUUAAGUGAAAGUUUACAUAUGGAAGCCUGGCAUGCCCCACCCAAUCUUCUUACAGGCUGCUUUCCUGACCUAGAUUCCAGAAUGCUGGCAGGGAGAAUCACACUCUCCCAAAAAGAAGCUGGGGGAACCAUCUCUGGGGAGUUUGACCGGCUCGGGAGGAAGGACCUAAACAUGCGUUGGGAGCUUCCUAAUCGUCAUACCAAAUUGGCAGUGAAGAGACCCCCUGCCAAUCACAUAGCAUUCAGUAACCUUUAGCCUAGGUCCCACCCUCCCCCAUGAGCAGGCGGCCAAGGGCCCUCGUACAUUCGAGGAACAAUGUAAACGUGAAAGAGACCAAACAAACAGAUGGACAGAUCUAAGCGAAGAUCUCUGGGCGCACGUAUUUUGUUAAAUUUGGAGGUCUAUAAUGCUGGAAGAGAAAAAUGGCCUUUCUUUUCACUAAGUUCAAGGCAGCAUUUUCUUCGCUUACAAACAUAAGCAACAAACUGUAGUAGUGUUAGCAGUUUCUGUGACUUCAUCAUCAAUAGAAACCAGGUAUUUUCCUACCAUGAUGGUAUUGUUGGAGUCAUUUCAUAACAUCAUUUAUGCUCGUCGUGACUUUGAAAUGAUGGUAGUCAUUAGACACCCUGCUAAAUCUUCUAAUAUAGAAGCACAUAUGUCAGUAUAUGACAGAUUUGUUUUUUAAAUAUUUUGAUAAGUGUAUGUUGAUGUAAAUGAUUUCCUUUGUAAUCCUGUGCAUAGAAGUUGAUUCAUUUAAAGAUAUUACGCUGAGAAAAGGUCCACAGUCUCCACCUGACUGCAGAGGGGUCCAGGGCACAAGAAGGGUUCUCUUUAGGAUGGCUAGGGAAUGGAGAUCAUAAUCGGUAAGCACUUUGUGCCAGAUUUUAAACCUCAGAAUUCUAAGAGUAAUUAUUAUUAUUACUUUGAUAGCUUUCCUUAGUACUUAAAAUGUUCAUUUUGUCAUUGCAAUGGGAUAUUUGGAGGGGGAGAGAAUCAUAGAAGGACUUAAUCAGCCCCCUUGGCCCAAAAGUUCAGUUUUCUUUUCUAAAAAUAGUACGUGCACAUCAUAAAUAAGCUAGAAAAGUACAAAGAGGACGACAAAAAUCACCUCCAAUCCCACUACCUAUUUGGCGAACAUUGUUCUGGGCAGCAUUGUGUGCAUAAACACAUAACAUACACAUAUAUCCACACAAACAUAAAGAUCAGUAUAUGUAUAAAGAUAUAUACGUAAUUAUAGGGGCGCCUGGGUGGCUCAGUCCGCUGAGCGCCCACUUUUGGUUUGGCCCAGGUCAUAAUCUCACGGUUUGUGGGAUCCAGCCCCCGAGUCAGCUCCAAGCUGACAGCACAGAGUCUGCUCAUGAUUCUCUCUCCCCCUCUUUCUGCUCCUCCCCUACGCACAAUCACUUGUUCUCUAAAUAAAUAAAUGUGAACAAAAUAAAGUUAAAGACAUAGACAUAAUUUUUGACAAAAACAGAAUCAAAGUACACAUUUAUUAUUAUUUUAUUUUUUACUACACAUUUAUUAUUAUCAUUGUAUUUUUUACCCUGCGUUUAUCUUCUAUAGUAAUAACAAGAAUUGAGGCGGGUAAUUAUUUUCACCAGUCAGUUAAGGAAACUGAGACUCAGAUAAUUAAAGCCUGGUGCAUGGUCACAGGUGGUGAGAGAGAAAAAUCUCUCGGUCAUCCCAGAAUGACUUACUGUUCAAGGACCCCAUGUCUGUGAGCGGGGAAGCCUGGAGUUCAACUGGACUGAGAGAGCUUCACCCUCCCAGCUGCACUUACCCAAAAGCUUGUGACCCGAAAUCUUUGUGAUUUGGGGGGAUUCUAGCUCGGGUGCAGGUGACCCAUAUGCCAAGUCCCAAAAGAGAUCCGCUGAGAAGCUUCAACUGAAUGAUCAUACUUGGAGGCAGGAAUCUGGCACAUCCUGGGCUCCUUUCUGUAUUUCCAUUCUGAUUCCUUUGGGAAGCAAAUGGGGGCAAGUCUUCUCAUUAACUCCAAAUGCAGCCCUUCGUGGGCACCACGUGCUGCGGUGGACAGAUGGAAAGCCAUCCACACAAAGGCUGACCUCUCCAUCCCGUCUGGCUCCCUGGAACUGGAGGAAGAUGAGACAAAGUGGACUUCCUGAGGUCCGUCCCAGAAUUUAUUUAAUCUGCCGGAUCCCAAAGCUCGGCGGGGCUGCAUCAGAAUCACCUGAGGAGCCUGUUGAAAGCAGUGAUGCAAGGUUCUGAUUCUAGAGUAGUGGAUGUCAACCUUGGCUACCCAUUAGAAUCACCAGGGAAGCCUUUAAAAAACAAAAUGGCGGAGUAGGCAUGUUAUGGACUGAAUGUCAUCCCCAAAUUCCUGUGUUGAAACCUCACCCAUCUCCUAUCAAUGUAAUGGCAUUAAGAGGUGGAGCCUUCGGGAGGCCUGACCUUAGAUGAGGCCAGGAGGGAGGAGCCCUUUAAUGGGAUUAGUGCCCUUACAGGGCUCACCGAGAGCUGUACUUCCUGUAUCUGCUCUCUGCCUUGUGAGGGUACAAUAAGAAGCUGGCAGUCUGCAGCCUAGAAGGGGGGUCCUCGUCAGAACCUGGCCAUGCCAGCACCCUGAUCUUGGACUUCCAGCCUCCAGGAAGUUCCUGGUGUUCAAGGAAAUCUCUGUCAAAACUCCGUGGAGCAUGAGCUAAAGGAACAGAGACAUCAGUGACUUCAUGUGAGUUUAUGUUCAUCUGCUACAGCAGCGGUAGGAAGCUAACGCAGCACUCAUUGAACGUUAGCUCUGGCCAUUGGGGAGGAACUUCAGCUCCAUGUUACCUGUGGUCAUUGUGUUCAGUAAAUACUGAUCACAAUAAACAUAAUGAAUACAAGAACUCACCGGAAGCGGUAUAGCAGGAGGUCUGUUCCUUUUCUGCUUAACUGUUGGUAUCGGAAGCAUCUGAAAGUACUUUGUUCAGUUUUUUAAAAAAAUCUGUAAUUCUGAACCAGUUACUUAAUUCCACGGUGCAGGCCUGAUUCCACACUUUGGCGAAAGUUAAUAAUUUUUUAACAGGUAGAGGCGGCGGUGAAAUGGAACACACCUCAGGUCGGAAGUCCGAAAGUUGGGCCCUGGUCUCAGCUCCACCUCUAUCUGGCCGUGUGACUUAGGUCAUCUUGCCUCCUCUCUUUGGGUUUUGUUUUCCCCAUUCAGAAAAUGAAGGAAUUAGAUCAAUAAUAACUCCCAUGUGUCAAAUGCCUGCAAUGCACAAUUUAUACAUGUGGUCUCAUUUGAGCCACAUAAAAACUGUGCAAGGUAUCACCCCCAUUUUAUAGUUGAGAAAACGGAGAGGCCCAGAGAGGUUAAGUGACUUUCCCAAGGUCACGGAGUAUCAGGCAGAGCUGUGAUUUAAAACCAGGACUGUUUGACUCUUUUUGAUAAGCCCCUCUACCUUUCCACGUUUUGGAGGUCAACAGUGUCUUUACAGAACAUGCUUAGGAGGCACCUGCUUUUCUCCGUACAUCAUAGUGAGGAUGAUGGGUCUCUCUAGCUUCCCACUUGAGGGCUCUGGAACCUGGUCCAUCUCUUGUGUUUCUGAGAACCUCUGAUUCAGCCCCUCAGAGACUUCCCUCACAACCACGUAUCCCUCCUCUCACCUCUAACAGACACUACGAGGUGCUGAACCAAUGUCUGGCCUCUCCUUUUUACUUAGUAACAGAGUCCUAAUUUUGUUCGAAUAAAAUGUACCCACUUAAAAAUACCUGCCCGCAUUCCCUUGCAGGUGGACCCUUACAGGUGGUCCCCUGACCCAGUUCUGACCAAUGAGAUGUAAGUGGACAUUUGGGUGGGGAUUCUUGGGAACCUAUCUUCUUCAUACUAAAAGGUGGGAGAAGUCAGCAAGCCCAAGGCACAAAUUGCCUUUGUUUUCAUCGUCACCUGGAACAUAGGUGAGGUUUCUGGAAGUGGAGCAGCCAUCUUGUGACUAUGAGGGUGAGUGCCACCUGCUAAGGAUAGCAGAGCCGGAAGACCAAAGAAACUUCUUUGUAAUCGGUCCUCUGUACCAGCCUGGAUUGCCUAGACUUCUUGUCACAUGAGAAAAAUAAAGCUUUAUUUGGUCAGAUUUCUGUUCUGUCAACUUCAUACCAUCCUGACAGGUUCUCUGAGAAAAGUCUCUCCUCUGCCCUGUAGGCCUGACAUGUGGCCUUAAUAAGCACCUGUGGUGACUCAAAAAUAGACCAGGGGGAAGAGAAAUUGGCCAUGGCUGUGAUUCUGAACUUGCUGAGCCAUCACCUGUUCAAUCCAUGCUCUGAAGAAGAGUCUGUUAAUUACACUCUCCUUGGCCAGCCAGAGCACAGGAGGCUGCGUCCGUGUGUUCUCAGGGAAGCUCAAAUAUAGCUCAGGCUCCUUCCCUGCUUUUGCUGAGUGUGCAGCUUCUGCGUGUCUGGCAGCCCCAGCGAAGAAUGGAGAAGCUUUUCCCGGGAGGUUAGAGUCUGAAGAAGGUGCUAGAAAACAGGGAUGCUGGCAAGGUCUGGCUCAAGGAGACAAGAUCUUCCCUCCCGCCUUCUGCAAGGAGUUAAAGCAAUAUGGAAAAGUACAAAGAAGGAAGUGAGAAAGUCAAGUGAUCAAGGUCAACAGCACGAAGGGGUUUCAUUGUCAGGAAUGAGCUGAGGCUCAGGAAGCAGCCACGAAAACCUGCCUUGCACCCCCUCUCAUUUCUCCACUGCGCUGGAAUCGGACUCUAAAUGGAAGGAGGGAGUCAAGAGGGCCCCAACCUGGCUCCCUCAUCCGGGCAGAAGCUGUCCCUUUAAAAGAGAGAGGAGGCAGAGUUGGCUUACUGCUUCCAGAAGAGGCUGACUGACAGCCAGUGUGCUCCCGGGAGGCCUGAUGUCAGCAGUGAGCAACAAGGCAUCUGACUGGCAGCAGAAUGAGGAGUCCAGGAGCCUUGGCUGUGACGGAGGGGGGGGGGGGGGUCCUCUGCACAGCACCCACCGAGCAGGCAUUUAAAGUUGCAGGAAUUGGGUCCAUCCCAGGCUCUUCAGGGCCCCUCUCUCAGCGUUACCUAUCACGCAGGGCUUCUCUCCUCCAUUCUCUCCAUCCUUGGAACGGGGGCGUCCUGCCUGCAAGACCAGACUCCCGUUCCAGCACUGGAACCACCCCCCGAGUGCCAGGUCUGGACCAUACCUGGCUCUCAAGUGCAUGCUCUCCUUCCCUCCUCCCCUCUGAUGAUGAACUUGACACUAUUUUUUUUUCUAAUUGUAAAAAAAAAAAAAAAAAGGAAGGAAGGAAAGAAAGUACCAGUUGACUCUUGUACGUUGCUGAUGCCCACGCAGUUGAAAAUCACGUAUAACUUUUGACUCCCCCAAAACUUAACUGCUAAUAGCCUACUGUUGACUGGAAGCCUUAUUGAUAACAUAAAUGGUUAAUUAACAGUUAUUUUGCAUGUUGUCUGUAUUAUACACUGGAUUCUUACAAUAAAGUGAGCUGGAGAAAAAGUGUUAUUAAGAAAAUCAUAAAAAAAGAGGACAUGUACAGUAUGAGACUGUAUAUAUGGGGGAAAAUCUGCAUCUAAGUGCACCCGUGCAGUUCAUGGUCAACUGUACAGAGAACACUGUAAAGAAUAAAGUGAAAAUUAUGCUUAGCCACAA